This is a non-coding RNA of Stegodyphus mimosarum, 73 nucleotides long. The record is from Rfam. Lineage: Eukaryota; Metazoa; Arthropoda; Arachnida; Araneae; Eresidae.
ACCUUCGUGGUGUAGUGGUCAGCACACUAGGCGCGUAUUCGAGAGGUUCUUGGUUCGAGUCCCGGCGAGGGUG